Molecule: ribosomal RNA, 506 nt
Filed under: uncultured bacterium
Lineage: Bacteria
Description: partial 16S ribosomal RNA
Rfam family: Bacterial small subunit ribosomal RNA
Source: RNAcentral
ACUCAAAGGAAUUGACGGGGGCUCACACAAGCGGUGGAGCAUGUUGCUUAAUUCGAGGCAACGCGAAGAACCUUACCUGGGUUUGACAUGCUUGGAUUAACUCCAUGAAAGUGGAGCCACGCCCGCAAGGGUGGAACAAGCACAGGUGCUGCAUGGCUGUCGUCAGCUCGUGCUGUGAAGUGUCGGGUUAAGUCCUCUAACGAGCGCAACCCCUGUCGUUAGUUGCUCACGCGUAAUGGCGAGUACUCUAGCGAGACUGCCGGCGUCAAGCCGGAGGAAGGCGGGGAUGACGUCAAGUCCUCAUGGCCCUUACAUCCAGGGUUGCAAACGUGCUACAAUGGCGCGCACAAAGCGACGCGAGGCCGCGAGGCGGAGCAAAUCGCAAAAAACGCGCCCCAGUUCGGAUUGCAGGCUGCAACUCGCCUGCAUGAAGUCGGAAUCGCUAGUAAUCGGAGAUCAGCUACGCUCCGGUGAAUAAGUUCCUGAGCCUUGUACACACCGCCCGU